Etheostoma cragini (Arkansas darter) is the source of this 129-nucleotide long non-coding RNA. RefSeq lists it as uncharacterized. Lineage: Eukaryota; Metazoa; Chordata; Actinopteri; Perciformes; Percidae. The record is from RefSeq and is a predicted model, not a curated record. The transcript is spliced from 3 exons.
UUCCAGACAACCCGUGACUCGUGUUUUCACAAUCUUCUAACCUAAAAAGUGCCCUGGAACGGCAGUCAAACCCGUGACUUACUACUCGUGAACUUGUACCAGAUGGGUGUACUCCCAAUUAGUUUGUGA